GUGUCAGCCGCCGCGGUAAUACGGGGGGAGCAAGCGUUGUUCGGAUUUACUGGGCGUAAAGGGCGCGUAGGCGGCGUGGUAAGUCACUUGUGAAAUCUCCGAGCUUAACUCGGAACGGUCAAGUGAUACUGCUGUGCUAGAGUGCGGAAGGGGCAACUGGAAUUCUCGGUGUAGCGGUGAAAUGCGUAGAUAUCGAGAGGAACACCUGCGGCGAAGGCGGGUUGCUGGGCCGACACUGACGCUGAGGCGCGAAAGCUAGGGGAGCGAACGGGAUUAGAAACCCUCGUAGUCC
This 292-nucleotide ribosomal RNA is filed under the name uncultured bacterium. RNAcentral describes it as "partial 16S ribosomal RNA". It matches the Rfam family "Bacterial small subunit ribosomal RNA", at positions 505 to 796 of the family's 1533-position model. The record is from RNAcentral.